AAGAAGUUGCAUGAACAAGCUAGGUUGCACAUUGAAAAGAAAAAUGAAUCUUAUGCUUCUCAUGCUAACAAAGGGCGAAAGCCUAUUGUGUUUGAGCCAGGUGAUUUGGUGUGGGUGCACCUAAGGAAAGAAAGAUUUCCUAAGAUUAGGAAAUCUAAAUUGCAGCACAGAAGUGAUGGACCAUUCAAGGUGUUGAAGAGAAUUAAUGACAAUGCCUACCAAAUUGAGUUGCCUGGUGAGUAUGGUUUUAGUUCUACAUUUAAUGUUGCUGACCUUUCUCCUUGUUUUGAUGCAGAAGCAAAUUCGAGGACGAAUUCUUUCGAA
RNAcentral lists this unclassified non-coding RNA (324 nucleotides) under Hevea brasiliensis (rubber tree). The record is from RNAcentral. Lineage: Eukaryota; Viridiplantae; Streptophyta; Magnoliopsida; Malpighiales; Euphorbiaceae.